AGGGAGGCGGAGCAAGGGGAGGACGACGAGUGGCUCCCAGAGCCGGAAGUGGAGGAUGGUGAGAGGCUGAAACCUAACAUCUGGUGGAGGAUUGCCUUCUCCACGACAGGACCUCCCUUAACGUCCCCUCCAAGCCACUGGGAGUGUGCCUGAAACACUGGCUUGAGCCCCAGGACUGAGGACCAGCAGAAGGACCACCAGCCUGUGGGUCCCAGCCCAUGAGGGCUGUCACACUUCCCCAGAUUCCAGGACCACAGCUCACGACACCACAGUUCACGUCAACGCCGGAUCCUUAACCCACUAAGUGAGGCCAGGGAUUGAACCCGAAACCUCACAGUUCCUAGUCGGAU
RNAcentral lists this long non-coding RNA (350 nucleotides) under Sus scrofa (pig). RNAcentral describes it as "lncRNA (ENSSSCG00030004826.1)". Lineage: Eukaryota; Metazoa; Chordata; Mammalia; Artiodactyla; Suidae. The record is from RNAcentral.